Molecule: ribosomal RNA, 447 nt
Filed under: uncultured bacterium
Lineage: Bacteria
Description: bacterial SSU rRNA
Rfam family: Bacterial small subunit ribosomal RNA
Source: RNAcentral
UGGGGAAUAUUGGACAAUGGGCGAAAGCCUGAUCCAGCAAUGCCGCGUGAGUGAUGAAGGCCUUAGGGUUGUAAAGCUCUUUUACCAGGGAUGAUAAUGACAGUACCUGGAGAAUAAGCUCCGGCUAACUCCGUGCCAGCAGCCGCGGUAAUACGGAGGGAGCUAGCGUUGUUCGGAAUUACUGGGCGUAAAGCGUACGUAGGCGGUGACUCAAGUCAGAGGUGAAAGCCUGGAGCUCAACUCCAGAACUGCCUUUGAAACUAGGUCGCUAGAAUCACGGAGAGGUGAGUGGAAUUCCGAGUGUAGAGGUGAAAUUCGUAGAUAUUGGGAAGAACACCAGUGGCGAAGGCGGCUAACUGGUCCGGUACUGACGCUGAGGUGCGAAAGCGUGGGGAGCAAACAGGAUUAGAUACCCACGUAGUCCCUGAGCGGGCUGGCAAGGCGCAU